UGACUCGGACAUCAUGCUGAUGUGGUC
Molecule: non-coding RNA, 27 nt
Filed under: Homo sapiens (human)
Lineage: Eukaryota; Metazoa; Chordata; Mammalia; Primates; Hominidae
Source: RNAcentral